Molecule: ribosomal RNA, 460 nt
Filed under: uncultured bacterium
Lineage: Bacteria
Description: partial 16S ribosomal RNA
Rfam family: Bacterial small subunit ribosomal RNA
Source: RNAcentral
CCUACGGGUGGCAGCAGUGAGGAAUAUUGGUCAAUGGACGGAAGUCUGAACCAGCCAUGCCGCGUGCAGGAAGACGGCUCUAUGAGUUGUAAACUGCUUUUGUACAAGGGUAAACCUGAAUACGUGUAUUCAGCUGAAAGUACUGUACGAAUAAGGAUCGGCUAACUCCGUGCCAGCAGCCGCGGUAAUACGGAGGAUCCAAGCGUUAUCCGGAUUUAUUGGGUUUAAGGGGUGCGUAGGCGGAUUGAUAAGUUAGAGGUGAAAUGUCCGAGCUUAACUCGGGAACUGCCUCUAAUACUGUUGAUCGAGAGAGUAGAUGCGGUAGGCGGAAUGUAUGGUGUAGCGGUGAAAUGCUUAGAGAUCAUACAGAACACCGAUUGCGAAGGCAGCUGACCAAUCUAUAUCGGACGUUGAGGCACGAAAGCGUGGGGAGCAAACAGGAUUAGAUACCCUUGUAGUG